RNAcentral lists this ribosomal RNA (398 nucleotides) under uncultured bacterium. Its description in RNAcentral is "partial 16S ribosomal RNA". It matches the Rfam family "Bacterial small subunit ribosomal RNA", at positions 338 to 733 of the family's 1533-position model. The record is from RNAcentral.
CCUACGGGAGGCAGCAGUGAGGAAUAUUGGUCAAUGGGCGCGAGCCUGAACCAGCCAAGUAGCGUGAAGGAUGACUGCACAACGGGUUGUAAACUUCUUUUGUCAAGGAAUAAAGUGAGGCACGAGUGCCUGUUUGUGUGUACUUUAUGAAUAAGGAUCGGCUAACUCCGUGCCAGCAGCCGCGGUAAUACGGAGGAUCCGAGCGUUAUCCGGAUUUAUUGGGUUUAAAGGGAGCGUAGAUGGGUUGUUAAGUCAGUUGUGAAAGUUUGCGGCUCAACCGUAAAAGGGCAAUUGAUACUGGCAGGCUUGAGUUCAGUUGAGGUAGGCGGAAUGCGUGGUGUAGCGGUGAAAUGCUUAGAUAUCACGAAGAACUCCGAUUGCGAAGGCAGCUUACCAAA